ACUGGAGGGAAACGGAGAUGAAAACUGAUCAAUGGAAAAAGCGAAUCACGAACGUAGCUAUUCAACUGAUACAUUUGGAGUGGCGUUUUACACAGAAAUAAACUAUAACAUUUUGUUUUUGUUCUUUAAGAAGGUGGAAUGCAUCUUUGUAUUAUGUUUUUAUCUCCGUUAAAACAUUCUAUUUUUAUAUGUUUAAGUUUCUUGAAAUAUUUCCAUGUCAAAACAUGUUCAACUAUUAUAUUUUGUGAAUGUAAUGUGCACGUUUUAUAUGUAUCACUCUUAUAAUACAAAAUAGAUAUGAUUAAAAUUAUAGUCUUAUAACAUUUUUUCUCUUUUUUAGUAUACUUUUUCAAAUAUAUAGCGAUGGAAAAAAAAAAAAAAAAAAAAAAAAAAAAACACUUUGUUAUUGUUAUGUGAAAGUUAUUUGUCUGCCAAAUAUUUAAUCAUUUUAAAACUGGACACCCUGUCAGUAACAUGGAAAGUGUUGUAAAAUUUGAAUCUCCAGCCACAUUCAUUGUUGCCGGACCCAGUGGCUCCGGAAAAACAUCUUUGGUUUUUGAGAUGCUUAGAUAUGCGAAUGACCUAUUUUCUAUUCCUCCUAAAACAAUAAUCUAUUGUUAUGGCGUUUAUCAACCAUUGUAUGAUACAAUGAAGAUGGAAAUAUCGAGUUUAGAGUUUAUUGAAGGCUUACCUGCGAAAGAAAUGUUGGAAACGUGGAACAUGAAGGAAGCAGGACAUAAGAUUAUCAUAAUCGACGAUUUAAUGAGAGCAGGAUCCAAAAAUGGCGACCUUGUGGAUAUCUACUGUCAGUACUCCCAUCACUACAGUUUUUCCUGCAUAUUUUUAUGUCAAAAUGUAUUUUGUGCGAAUAAGGAGUUUCGAACGAUUAGCCUAAAUACGCAUUAUUUCAUAGUAUUUAAAAAUCAAAGAGAUCAGUUGCAAAUACAAACAUUGGGUAGACAAAUAUUUCCCAAUCAAAUAAAGUUCUUUAUGGAGGCUUACAGAAAAGCGACUGAACAAAAAUAUGGUUAUUUAGUGAUUGACUUAUCACCUCACUCCAACCCCUUGUAUAAACUACGAACACAAGUGUUGCCGCAUCAGUUAAUGAUUGUAUAUCGACCCGAAAAGGUGGUAUAAUGAGUCAGUUGAUACAUAAAGAAAACGAUUUUCUUCAGCUUUUUAUAAAAACGUCUCCUUCUCAGCAAAAGGCAUUAAUAAAAACGAUACAACAUUCGCAGCUAAAAGCAAUAGUGCAGGUGGUAUAUAAUGUGUUAGUCAAUCAUGACAGCUUACCUGCACAAGUCAAAGGCAAAGUGCGAAUACAUAAACUAAUAUUUCGACGUUUGAUAAAAAAGGACUAUCAUUAGGUGCGAGAAAACGGAUUUUAACUAAAUAUUUAGACAUAAUUUUACCUGUUCUCAAACAGAUUGACAAUAUACUUGAGGGAUGGCGCAAGAACUAGUGUUGGUACGUAAAACAAAAUAUGAAAAUUUGCUUGCCAAUGCGCAAAAGCAAAACAACUCUCAACAAAUUGGUGGGAAGGAAAUUAAAUCAAAUGAGACAGUUCAAAAUGAUGUGCAGAACAAAUCUCAACAAGUAUCAAAUAGUGAAAACGGUCAGGAAAAUGAAAUCAGUCACUCGGGAAAAUCGAGUGAAGAGACGGAUAAUAAAAACGUAUUGAACUAUGAAGAAACGUUGCAACAAAAAGAUAUAACACCAAAAUUAUAUGUAGAACGACCAUUUAAAAAAAUGCCAUUUAAUAGAAAGGUGGAGUUCAAAAAACGUGAAAAAGUAGUGCCUCCUACAAAAAAGCAGAAAUGGAUUAAUUAUUUAAUUUAAGCAAGGUAACACGGAAAUAAAGGGAAUUACUAUUUUUCAAGUGAAGUGAUCUAAAUAACUGAUAAAAAAGCAAUCAAGUCAUUUCUGAAAAAAAAAUGAAAAGGCAACGAAGCGACAGUGUAUCUGAUAGUGCAAAUACGUCAGAAAAA
Mercenaria mercenaria is the source of this 1988-nucleotide long non-coding RNA. RefSeq lists it as uncharacterized. The transcript has 2 exons. NCBI's taxonomy places the organism in Eukaryota, Metazoa, Mollusca, Bivalvia, Venerida, Veneridae. The record is from RefSeq and is a predicted model, not a curated record.